RNAcentral lists this ribosomal RNA (293 nucleotides) under Anaerolineales bacterium. RNAcentral's name for it is "partial 16S ribosomal RNA". It matches the Rfam family "Bacterial small subunit ribosomal RNA", at positions 1 to 287 of the family's 1533-position model. Lineage: Bacteria; Bacillati; Chloroflexota; Anaerolineae; Anaerolineales. The record is from RNAcentral.
UUUGCGGAGAGUUUGAUCCUGGCUCAGGAUGAACGCUGGCGGCGUGCCUAAUACAUGCAAGUCGAACGAGGUGCCUUUGUAGCAAUACGAAGGUAUCCUAGUGGCGAACGGGUGAGUAACGCGUUGGUGACCUACCCCAAAGUGUGGGAUAACAGAUCGAAAGAUCUGCUAAUACCGCAUGUGGUCUUCGGAUUUAGAAACUGAUGACUAAAGGAGCAAUUCGCUUUGGGAGGGACCUGCGUCCCAUCAGCUAGUUGGUGAGGUAAUGGCUCACCAAGGCUACGACGGGUAGG